CUUGUUGUUGACGCGGAUUUUGUUUCACAGCGCUAAUAAGGUUAUCUUACCGUCAGUGGUGUUGGAAAAUGAGAUAAAAAAGAGUACCUGCUGAAGUGCAGCCUCCAGUCUGUCCUGCUUGCUGACCGACAGUUUGCACACAGCCUCCCAGCGGCCCUCCAGCUCAUCCAUCUGCUCCUGAAGCCAGUGAGCAUCAGCUGUGCUGCUCCGGGUCAGAUCCCUCACAGAGCGCUUCAGAGUCCUAAUGCAUCCAGCCCUCUUCCCCAACUCCUUCUGGAAGGCCUGCAAGAAGAAAAAAAACAGUUCUGCAAUCUUACACUUUUAAAGUCUGGGAUAUAGAAAUUAAAUGACAAGAAGUCAUGUGGAGAUUGGAAGUGGGAGCUAAUCCUUGAAGACUAUCAUAACCUUCAUUGAACAUCCUCAGCGAGUUGGGGCUCUGCUCUGUACAGCCAGUCAUUCAGAGCCUGCAGAGCGUCAGUGAAUCUACCUGAGAACAGCAGCGCCUCCUCCAGCUUGUGCUGCCUGAGCAAAUCAUAUAAAGAUAAGACAUCAAUAUUCAAAGAUCAAGAUUGUGUACUUAAAUGGUAUUCUUAAUCAGCUGUUGGCAGUUCCAUACCUCUCCAUAGACUUCCCACUGAUGGUGUCCCAUGUGUCUUUGAGUUCAGCCAGCAGGUUUUCAAGAUGCUGUCUAUCAUGGCUGGUUUGAGCUCUCUCAUGAAGGGUGCGUCCACUCUUUGAUGUUGCAUCAUACAUCGGCCUUUUUGACCUCAGUAGUUUCUGGAACUCCUGUUAUCAAAUUAAGUAUUCAGGUUAGGUAUUCAUAAAAAAUCUAAUAUUACCAAAGAGUAUCCCUUGUAAUGUUUACUGCACCUUUUGCUCAGUCAGUUGUUGUUUAAUCUCCUCGUGGGACACAGCGAUCUCUUUGUGUGUGUCCAAUGUCUGUUCUACCUCCGUCAUCCAGUCCACUAGCAGGCGCCAUGAUUCAAGGAACUGAAGUAUGAUAAAUAUAGACAGAUUUAAAACUCAAGUUCCUCUGAGUCACACUUUAAGUCAGGGGUUC
Molecule: long non-coding RNA, 1060 nt
Organism: Notolabrus celidotus (New Zealand spotty)
Lineage: Eukaryota; Metazoa; Chordata; Actinopteri; Labriformes; Labridae
Exons: 3
Source: RefSeq, a predicted model, not a curated record